This 1315-nucleotide ribosomal RNA is filed under the name Dujonia zeylanoides. RNAcentral's name for it is "LSU rRNA". The stretch from base 720 to 1315 matches the Rfam family "Eukaryotic large subunit ribosomal RNA", at positions 1 to 602 of the family's 3401-position model. The record is from RNAcentral. Lineage: Eukaryota; Fungi; Ascomycota; Pichiomycetes; Serinales; Debaryomycetaceae.
UUCUCUACCGAUUGAUGGCUUAGUGAGGCUUCCGGAUUGGUUUAAAGAAGGGGGCAACCUCAUCUUGGAACUGAAAAGCUAGUCAAACUUGGUCAUUUAGAGGAAGUACAAGUCGUAACAAGGUUUCCGUAGGUGAACCUGCGGAAGGAUCAUUACAGUAUUCUUUUGCCAGCGCUUAAUUGCGCGGCGAAAAACCUUACACACUAUGUUUUUUUGAUUUGAAACUUUUGCUUUGGUCUGACUUAGAAAUGAGUUGGGCCAAAGGUUUUAUACUAAAACUUCAAUUUUAUUAUUGAAUUGUUAAUUAAUUAUAUUGUCAAUUUGUUGAUUAAAUUCAAAAAUCUUCAAAACUUUCAACAACGGAUCUCUUGGUUCUCGCAUCGAUGAAGAACGCAGCGAAAUGCGAUAAGUAAUAUGAAUUGCAGAUUUUCGUGAAUCAUCGAAUCUUUGAACGCACAUUGCGCCCUAUGGUAUUCCAUAGGGCAUGCCUGUUUGAGCGUCAUUUCUCUCUCAAAUCUUCGGAUUUGGUUUUGAGUGAUACUCUUAGUCAGACUAAGCGUUUGCUUGAAAUGUAUUGGCAUGAGUGGUACUAGAUAGUGCUGAACUGUUUCAAUGUAUUAGGUUUAUCCAACUCGUUGACCAGUAUAGUAUUUGUUUAUUACACAGGCUCGGCCUUACAACAACAAACAAAGUUGACCUCAAAUCAGGUAGAAAAAGUUUGACCUCAAAUCAGGUAGGACUACCCGCUGAACUUAAGCAUAUCAAUAAGCGGAGGAAAAGAAACCAACAGGGAUUGCCUCAGUAACGGCGAGUGAAGCGGCAAAAGCUCAAAUUUGAAAUCUAGCACUUUCAGUGUUCGAGUUGUAAUUUGAAGAAGGUAACUUUGGUUUUGGCUCUUGUCUAUGUUCCUUGGAACAGGACGUCACAGAGGGUGAGAAUCCCGUGCGAUGAGAUGCCCAAUUCCAUGUAAAGUGCUUUCGAAGAGUCGAGUUGUUUGGGAAUGCAGCUCUAAGUGGGUGGUAAAUUCCAUCUAAAGCUAAAUAUUGGCGAGAGACCGAUAGCGAACAAGUACAGUGAUGGAAAGAUGAAAAGAACUUUGAAAAGAGAGUGAAAAAGUACGUGAAAUUGUUGAAAGGGAAGGGCUUGAGAUCAGACUUGGUAUUUUGCGUUCCCUUCCUUUUUGGUUGGGUUCCUCGCAGUUUACUGGGCCAGCAUCGGUUUGGAUGGUAGGAUAAUGACAUUGGAAUGUAGCUUUACUUCGGUGAAGUGUUAUAGACUUUGUUGAUACUGCCUAUCUAGACCGAGGACUGCGUCU